GGAUUCAUUAACUUCAACAUCUUUAGAAAAUUGCUCCACCUUCAUCUUUAAUCAACAUUAACUAAAUUGACCAAACGAACAAUAGUGUAUAUAUAUGUACGGAAGAAGUGUAUAAGCAGAGGUAGAUGAGAAAUUCCGACAAGUUUUCGGUAGAUCCCAUGGUACUUGCACAAUCUCUCCUUCAUUCUUUAGAUAGAUACAAAUACAAUUGUGGAUGUAUUAAUAUUAUACAAUUGUCCAACCAUCUCAAGAGAUUCAAUAUGCAUUACACGCUU
Molecule: long non-coding RNA, 275 nt
Filed under: Arabidopsis lyrata
Lineage: Eukaryota; Viridiplantae; Streptophyta; Magnoliopsida; Brassicales; Brassicaceae
Description: long non-coding RNA (ALYR_LNC001255)
Source: RNAcentral